UACGAAGGGGGCUAGCGUUGCUCGGAAUCACUGGGCGUAAAGCGCACGUAGGCGGCUUUUUAAGUCAGAGGUGAAAUCCUGGGGCUCAACUCCAGAACUGCCUUUGAUACUGAGAAGCUUGAGUCCGGGAGAGGUGAGUGGAACUGCGAGUGUAGAGGUGAAAUUCGUAGAUAUUCGCAAGAACACCAGUGGCGAAGGCGGCUCACUGGCCCGGUACUGACGCUGAGGUGCGAAAGCGUGGGGAGCAAACAGG
Molecule: ribosomal RNA, 253 nt
Filed under: uncultured bacterium
Lineage: Bacteria
Description: partial 16S ribosomal RNA
Rfam family: Bacterial small subunit ribosomal RNA
Source: RNAcentral